RNAcentral lists this ribosomal RNA (483 nucleotides) under uncultured bacterium. RNAcentral's name for it is "partial 16S ribosomal RNA". It matches the Rfam family "Bacterial small subunit ribosomal RNA", at positions 30 to 507 of the family's 1533-position model. The record is from RNAcentral.
AUUGAACGCUGGCGGAAUGCUUUACACAUGCAAGUCGAGCGGCAGCACGGGGGUAACCCUGGUGGCGAGCGGCGAACGGGUGAGUAAUACAUCGGAACAUGCCCAGUCGUGGGGGAUAACACUUCUAAAGAAGUGCUAAUACCGCAUACGUCCUGAGGGAGAAAGCGGGGGAUCGCAAGACCUCGCGCGAUUGGAGUGGCCGAUGUCAGAUUAGCUAGUUGGUGGGGAAAAGGCCUACCAAGGCAACGAUCUGUAGCUGGUCUGAGAGGAUGAUCAGCACACUGGGACUGAGACACGGCCCAGACUCCUACGGGAGGCAGCAGUGGGGAAUUUUGGACAAUGGGGGCAACCCUGAUCCAGCCAUGCCGCGUGAGUGAAGAAGGCCUUCGGGUUGUAAAGCUCUUUCGGCAGGAACGAAACGGUGAGCUCUAACAUAGCUUGCUAAUGACGGUACCCGAAGAAGAAGCACCGGCUAACUACGUG